This 1237-nucleotide ribosomal RNA is filed under the name metagenome. RNAcentral describes it as "bacterial SSU rRNA". It matches the Rfam family "Bacterial small subunit ribosomal RNA", at positions 8 to 1176 of the family's 1533-position model. The record is from RNAcentral.
AGAGUUUGAUCCUGGCUCAGAGUGAACGCUGGCGGCGUGGAUUAGGCAUGCAAGUCGAGCGAUUCUUGUUUUAGUCUUACUGGAGUGCUUGCACAAAGGUGAGACGAGGACGCUGAAUAGCGGCAAACGGGUGAGGAAUGCGUGAGCAACUUGCCCCUAAGUUAGGGAUAGCUUCGUGAAAACGGGGGUAAUAUCUAAUAGUACCUUUCUUUCGCAUGGAAGAUUGGUUAAAGGCGGGGACCCUUCGGGGCCUGCCACUUGGGGAUGGGCUCGCGUCCUAUCAGCUUGUUGGUGGGGUAAUGGCCUACCAAGGCGUAUGACGGGUAGCUGGUCUGAGAGGAUGGUCAGCCACACUGGGACUGAGACACUGCCCAGACUCCUACGGGAGGCUGCAGUCGAGAAUAUUUAGCAAUGGGCGAAAGCCUGACUAUGCGACGCCGCGUGAGGGAUGAAGGUUUUCGGAUCGUAAACCUCUUUUGUUAGGAAAGAAACCCCUGUCAUUAAUAUUGGCAGGAUUGACGGUACCUGACGAAUAAGCCACGGCCAACUCCGUGCCAGCAGCCGCGGUAAUACGGAGGUGGCAAGCGUUACUCGGAAUUAUUGGGUGUAAAGGGCAAGUAGGCGGCUUGAUAAGUGAGGGGUGAAAUCUUCCGACUUAAUCGGAAAACUGCCUUUCAAACUGUCUAGCUUGAGGCAUGAAGAGGGAAAUGGAAUUCCAGGUGUAAGGGUGAAAUCUGUAGAUAUCUGGAAGAACACCAGCGGCGAAGGCGAUUUCCUGGUCAUGUCCUGACGCUGAAUUGCGAAAGCUAGGGUAGCAAACAGAAUUAGAUACUCUGGUAGUCCUAGCUGUAAACGAUGAGCACUAGGUGUUGGUCCUUCGGGAUCAGUGCCGCAGCUAACGCAUUAAGUGCUCCACCUGGGGACUACGGUCGCAAGGCUAAAACUCAAAGGAAUUGACGGGGACCCGCACAAGCGGUGGAACAUGUGGUUUAAUUCGAUGAUACGCGAAAAACCUCACCAGGGCUUGACAUGUAGGAAGUAGUGAACCGAAGGGGGAACAAGCCGUCAAGUCGGAAACCUACACAGGUGCUGCAUGGCUGUCGUCAGCUCGUGUCGUGAGAUGUUGGGUUAAGUCCCGCAACGAGCGCAACCAUUAUCUCAUGUUGCCACCACAUCCUUGCUCGCAAGGAUGUGAGCACUCUUGAGAGACUGCCUGGGAUAACCAGGAGGAAGGUGG